Molecule: long non-coding RNA, 602 nt
Organism: Raphanus sativus (radish)
Lineage: Eukaryota; Viridiplantae; Streptophyta; Magnoliopsida; Brassicales; Brassicaceae
Exons: 4
Source: RefSeq, a predicted model, not a curated record
CUAACAACACAUGAAAGAGAAAACAUUUUUUCCCGAAUAAAAAAAAUAUAUAUUUGAAGAACUCUCUCAACCUUGGUUCGUAAGUGUUUCGACUCUUCCAAACUUUUCAGAAACGGAUCCAAUUCAUUAAUAUAAUAUUAGCUUCACACCAGAAGAAACAGUGUGACGAGAGAGAGAGAGAGAUGGAAGAGCUGAAAGGCGAAACAACAAGAUACACUGGUUUUAUAGCAGAAUGACUUUGCAGUGACUCCGUGUGAAAUACCUGUCAUUUAAGGUUUGUGCUUUAGGAGGUCUGAGGAGAUUGCAAGUGUAGCAGACUUCUGUGACAGGUUAAGCUUUAGGAGGUCUGAGGAGAUUGCAAGUGUAGCACACUUCUGCGACAGGUAGUACAUCUCUUUGAAUUAGUUGAGUCUCACGUAGAUAUAUAUAUAUAUAUUUGUAGGUAUGUGAGACUUCUGUAGUUUAUAUGUCUGAGAAACUUUUUAUUUAUGGUCACCCACUAACCUUUCGUGAUCAUAUUCAUGUAAUUUUAUAAUUUAAUUUUGGUUGUUGUAUGAAUGUCCUACAUUUUGCAUUCUACAUCAUGUCUUUACCGUUCUGAA